GCUAAUCCUUGCUGACAGAGAUAGGCUACACUCUGUAUGCCAGCCUUAAUAAACCAGUGUUGCCUCCCAAGUCUGGGGCCUAAUUUAAGUGAAGUUAAUUUGGUAUUUAAUCUACUCAUUGUUCCCGGAGUCCACAAAGCACCUUGGUGAUAACCCAAGAGAUCAUUCCAGGCAGCCAUGGCCCAUGCCAAUAAACUCCUCCUGCUGCCCAGGUGCCACCACCCAGCGCUCUGCUUUCCAAUCCUGCUUUCCCUUUUGCUUUCACUUCCUGCCCCAGCCCAUUUCGCUGUUGUCUCUCGGUGCUCCAUGGCACCUGCAGGUUUGGGCAUUUCCUGGUGCAUUCGCAUGUGGAUGUUCCAUCAAAACCACCACACAUGGCCAGGUAGAGGGGCAUUCUCCUUUAUGAGUUUCCAUAAAUAUUCCAUGAUAACGACACUCACUUGGGCUGGCAGGUGCAAAGAUCAGGCUGCCAGGAGUACGUAUUUCAUCUCACUUCCUCCUUUGCCCAUAACUUGUCCUAUCUACAGAAAGCGAAGCUGCAACCAGUUUGACAGGGUGCCAGAAGGUCUUGCUUGCAUCCUCACCAGCAUGGGAAACUUCCACAGCUUCUACAUCACCUGGGCAAAGAGGCUCUGCCCAGGCUGUGCAAGUGAGGAUGACAGCAAAGACAACGACCUCACAGUUCACAUGGAGAUGGGAGCAGCGACUGGACAAGACAGCCAGCCCAGCUCCACAGGUGAGCUCAUUCCUUCCCAGGGGGAGAAGUCUUCCCCGACUGCUUUUGGGCCUCCUAGAGCAGAAGGAAUCUAUUUCAGCAUCUGUAAUGUUGCUUAGGAUGCCCUGGCAUCCUGCCAGCUUUCUGAAAAGUUAGAGGUGCCCAUGAGGCAUCUCCAUGGUAACUCUGGGAUGCUGAUCCCAGCUGGGUGCAAUGUCCAUGUGGGAACAGCAGGCUGCCAGGUUCAUCUUCCCCGGCCUUUUGGAAGGGCAGAAGGAACUGAGGGGGGCUCUGGUUCCUCUUGUUGCACUCCCAGGCUGCUGGAGGAGCAGCACUUCAGUCACCCAGGAGCUUUGACCUGAGGAACAAGCCAAAUGGCUCUUCCCAGCUGGUGGCAAAAUUCCUGGCAAAAGUAUUUUUGGCUUUUCUUUCUUUGUUUGUUUUUGUUGGGUUUUUGUUGUUGUUAUUGUGGGGUUUUUUUUGUUUGGUUUGGUCUGGUUUGUUUUGGAAGGUUUUGGUACAAAAUGAUUUGGGGUUUUGGGCUUCUCCCAAAGCCUGGAGAUGCGAGCAGCCCAUACCUGGUGGGUGUUCCAUACUCCAGCCCAUGUCAAACACGCCAGCACCCCAUGGCAGGGCAGCAGGAGUACAGGACACCACUGUGGUAUUGGGAUUUUGGGUGGGAAUGGCAGUAACGGCCAACCUGAGAGACGGUGUGGCCCUCAAGGAAGGCAGCAGAUUCAGAAAAGGAGGGUUUCAUCCAUAUCUCCAUGGCCUUAGCCAAAAGAAAUGAGUUUCUGUGUGAAGGAAAUAGUCCAGCCCCCCUGGGCACACAUUCUUCCUGCCAGCCAGCUUCAUGUGUUAUGAGGGACACAACAGACCUCCAUUGUGUCACUCCUGCCCUGAGAACACACAGAAUCAGCAGGAUUCCAGGUCCAAGGAUGCCCAAAGGCAGCAAAACUCAGCCUGACUCACCCUGAAUUGAAUAUAUACAUUUCCUUUUGGCAUUGUCACACCCCAUCCCAUCCUGACAAGCACCAGAUUCUUCGCUCAAGAGCACCUGAUAUGGUGUUUUGGUAGCCAUAGCUUAGAGGAAUGCUCACAGAAACACCAGGGGUACUUCUUCAAACAGAGGCCUUGCAGCAAACUCCAACUGUUCAAUUCUUUCACCUGACGCUGCAGCAAACAUGGGUAGAGCUUCUCAAAAACAAGAGCCAGUUACCUCUACACUUCUCUAAGGCAGUGGUGAACUUGUGUCUGUUGCCAGUGUUGUGUCCUCAGCUCAUCCAACAGCUCAGGUGUCCAAGAUCACCAUGAGAGCAUCCAGCUCCUUCCACAGCAUCCUGGCACCCUGGGUUAAGAAGAAAUAACCCCAGUGAGUGCUGUUCCAUAAUCUUGCCCCCACAUGACCACUCAGGUCCUUCAGCUCUAACCCAGACAAACACAACCAGGGAGCC
Prinia subflava (tawny-flanked prinia) is the source of this 2169-nucleotide long non-coding RNA. RefSeq lists it as uncharacterized. The record is from RefSeq and is a predicted model, not a curated record. The transcript has 3 exons. NCBI's taxonomy places the organism in Eukaryota, Metazoa, Chordata, Aves, Passeriformes, Cisticolidae.